RNAcentral lists this ribosomal RNA (494 nucleotides) under uncultured bacterium. Its description in RNAcentral is "partial 16S ribosomal RNA". It matches the Rfam family "Bacterial small subunit ribosomal RNA", at positions 28 to 507 of the family's 1533-position model. The record is from RNAcentral.
GACGAACGCUGGCGGCGCGCUUAACACAUGCAAGUCGAACGGAAAGGCCUGCUUUCCCUUGUGGAUUGCGGGUACUCGAGUGGCGAACGGGUGAGUAACACGUGAGUGAUCUGCCCCCAACUUGGGUAUAAGCCUGGGAAACUGGGUCUAAUUCCCGAUAGGACUGCAGGGUGGUGCCUGUGGUGGAAAACGAUUUUCUAGUGGUUGGGGAUGAGCUCGCGGCCUAUCAGCUUGUUGGUGGGGUAAUGGCCUACCAAGGCGGCGACGGGUAGCCGGCCUGAGAGGGUGGACGGCCACAUUGGGACUGAGAUACGGCCCAGACUCCGACGGGAGGCAGCAGUGGGGAAUAUUGCACAAUGGGCGGAAGCCUGAUGCAGCGACGCCGCGUGGGGGAUGACGGCCUUCGGGUGGUAAACUCCUUUCGACCGCGAGGAAGCCACCUGGUUGGAAGGGUGGUGACGGUAGUGGUAGAAGAAGCACCGGCUAACUACGUG